RNAcentral lists this ribosomal RNA (496 nucleotides) under uncultured bacterium. RNAcentral describes it as "partial 16S ribosomal RNA". It matches the Rfam family "Bacterial small subunit ribosomal RNA", at positions 28 to 507 of the family's 1533-position model. The record is from RNAcentral.
GAUGAACGCUGGCGGCGUGCCUAAUACAUGCAAGUCGAGCGAACGGACGAGAAGCUUGCUUCUCUGAUGUUAGCGGCGGACGGGUGAGUAACACGUGGAUAACCUACCUAUAAGACUGGGAUAACUUCGGGAAACCGGAGCUAAUACCGGAUAAUAUUUUGAACCGCAUGGUUCAAAAGUGAAAGACGGUCUUGCUGUCACUUAUAGAUGGAUCCGCGCUGCAUUAGCUAGUUGGUAAGGUAACGGCUUACCAAGGCAACGAUGCAUAGCCGACCUGAGAGGGUGUUCGGCAAACUGGGACUGGAGCACCGGCCAAGACCCUACGGGAGGCAGCAGUAGGGAAUCUUCCGCAAUGGGCGAAAGCCUGACGGAGCAACGCCGCGUGAGUGAUGAAGGUCUUCGGAUCGUAAAACUCUGUUAUUAGGGAAGAACAUAUGUGUAAGUAACUGUGCACAUCUUGACGGUACCUAAUCAGAAAGCCACGGCUAACUACGUG